CCUAUCAUUGUUGUAAUGCACAAUCAGGGUUUUUCUUCUCCAAAUGUUUUGUAGCAUUCCUUAAAAUAUUUGGCUGGAACUUUGCAGGUUUAACCAACCCAACAGAAGAAAGGAAGAAGAGAUUUUUCCUGUGGCUUGAUUAUGGCAGUGUUUCACAUCCCAGGACGGAUCUUGUUUGGUUCUUGGGCUCCUGCUGCUGGAAUUUGGGAGAAGGAAUGCUGCAGUGCUUUUUAAUCUGAAUAAGCUCUGUCCAUCCAGAGCUCCAUAUAGACAGAAUCACAAUUUGGAAAGGUGAUGCUUUCUCAUACCUGUCAAUGAAAAGAGAAAAUAUUUUUAUAUGGGUUGUACAGUUGACAGCCUGGAUCUGCUGGCGGGGUUAUAAGAUCUGUUUGAAGUACCUGGACUUCAGGAUUGGGCAAUGAUAAUGAACUGAGAGAUGGGCACAGGGCUGCUGCUUGACAAUCAUCUUUUGGUUGGCCUCCACCAAGUGCUGAUUUGGGCUGACACGUGAGUACCUGAUAGCACAAGGUUGGUGCCACUUGUGGAGGGUAUUUUACAAAACACAAAAUAGAUGAAAGUCUGUAAACCUGAUUCAUCUUUUUUUAAGUCUCUUAUCUUCUGCCACUGCAAAAGACUCAGGUCAUAUUAGUGGCCAUAGAUAGCUAAGUCACAGGAUAGGCCAAAGUCCUGUUUCCCAGAAGCCUGGAGACAGGCAUGUGAGAGCCACUGACACCAUCCUGUGGGCUGGUGGAUGGGGAAGUGCUCGUGCUGUGAUAAGGAUAGUUUUGCCUCUAGGACAUUCAGAAAAAUUAAUAGAGAUGGCAGUUGAGAAGCUAUCAGUGAAACUUCUGUUAGUGUGUGAAGGUCAUUAUUUGGACAGCCAGUCCAUAAACAGAUAACACAGGGAAUGUGUUGUGUAACAACAUCCAUGAUCCAAUGAUCGUGAAUGCUGUCAGAGAAGGGGAAAAGCAUAUCACCGAUAACAGUGAAACUUGAGUGCUUUUCCUUUAAGGCAACUCCAACAGCAACUUU
This 1032-nucleotide long non-coding RNA is filed under the name Anas platyrhynchos platyrhynchos (common mallard). RNAcentral's name for it is "lncRNA (ENSAPLG00000024256.1)". The record is from RNAcentral. Lineage: Eukaryota; Metazoa; Chordata; Aves; Anseriformes; Anatidae.